Molecule: ribosomal RNA, 543 nt
Filed under: uncultured bacterium
Lineage: Bacteria
Description: bacterial SSU rRNA
Rfam family: Bacterial small subunit ribosomal RNA
Source: RNAcentral
AAUAGAUACCCCGGUAGUCCACGCCGUAAACGAUGAGUGCUAAGUGUUAGGGGGUUUCCGCCCCUUAGUGCUGCAGCUAACGCAUUAAGCACUCCGCCUGGGGAGUACGGUCGCAAGACUGAAACUCAAAGGAAUUGACGGGGGCCCGCACAAGCGGUGGAGCAUGUGGUUUAAUUCGAAGCAACGCGAAGAACCUUACCAGGUCUUGACAUCCCAUUGACCGCUAUGGAGACAUGGCUUUCCCUUCGGGGACAGUGGUGACAGGUGGUGCAUGGUUGUCGUCAGCUCGUGUCGUGAGAUGUUGGGUUAAGUCCCGCAACGAGCGCAACCCUUGUUCUUAGUUGCCAUCAUUUAGUUGGGCACUCUAAGGAGACUGCCGGUGACAAACCGGAGGAAGGUGGGGAUGACGUCAAAUCAUCAUGCCCCUUAUGACCUGGGCUACACACGUGCUACAAUGGACGGUACAAACGGUUGCCAACCCGCGAGGGGAGCUAAUCCGAUAAAACCGUUCUCAGUUCGGAUUGUAGGCUGCAACUCGCCUAC